GACGAACGCUGGCGGCGUGCUUAACACAUGCAAGUCGAACGGAAAGGCCCUGCUUUUGUGGGGUGCUCGAGUGGCGAACGGGUGAGUAACACGUGAGUAACCUGCCCUUGACUUUGGGAUAACUUCAGGAAACUGGGGCUAAUACCGGAUAGGAGCUCCUGCUGCAUGGUGGGGGUUGGAAAGUUUCGGCGGUUGGGGAUGGACUCGCGGCUUAUCAGCUUGUUGGUGGGGUAGUGGCUUACCAAGGCUUUGACGGGUAGCCGGCCUGGGAGGGUGACCGGCCACAUUGGGACUGAGAUACGGCCCAGACUCCUACGGGCGGCAGCGGUGGGGAAUAUUGCACAAUGGGCGGAAGCCUGAUGCAGCAACGCCGCGUGCGGGAUGACGGCCUUCGGGUUGUAAACCGCUUUCGCAUGUGACGAAGCGUGAGUGACGGUAAUGGGUAAAGAAGCACCGGCUAACUACGUG
RNAcentral lists this ribosomal RNA (468 nucleotides) under uncultured bacterium. Its description in RNAcentral is "partial 16S ribosomal RNA". It matches the Rfam family "Bacterial small subunit ribosomal RNA", at positions 28 to 507 of the family's 1533-position model. The record is from RNAcentral.